RNAcentral lists this ribosomal RNA (783 nucleotides) under uncultured Alphaproteobacteria bacterium. Its description in RNAcentral is "bacterial SSU rRNA". It matches the Rfam family "Bacterial small subunit ribosomal RNA", at positions 45 to 874 of the family's 1533-position model. Lineage: Bacteria; Pseudomonadati; Pseudomonadota; Alphaproteobacteria. The record is from RNAcentral.
CGCUUAACACAUGCAAGUCGAACGGGAUCUUCGGAUCUAGUGGCAGACGGGUGAGUAACGCGUGGGAACCUGCCCAGUAGUAGAGAAUAACUUGAGGAAACUUAAGCUAAUACUUUAUACACCCUCCGGGGAAAAGCUUUAUGCGCUAUUGGAUGGGCCCGCGUUAGAUUAGUUUGUUGGUGAGGUAAUGGCUCACCAAGACUACGAUCUAUAGCUGGUCUGAGAGGAUGAUCAGCCACACUGGGACUGAGACACGGCCCAGACUCCUACGGGAGGCAGCAGUGGGGAAUAUUGGACAAUGGGGGCAACCCUGAUCCAGCGAUGCCGCGUGAGUGAUGAAGGCCUUCGGGUUGUAAAACUCUUUCGUCAGGGAAGAUAAUGACGGUACCUGAAGAAGAAGAUCCGGCUAACUCCGUGCCAGCAGCCGCGGUAAUACGGAGGGAUCUAGCGUUAUUCGGAAUUACUGGGCGUAAAGCGAGCGUAGGCGGAUUUGUAAGUUGGAGGUGAAAUCCCAGAGCUUAACUCUGGAACUGCCUUCAAAACUACAUUUCUUGAGUUUGGUAGAGGAGAGUGGAAUUCCUAGUGUAGAGGUGAAAUUCGUAGAUAUUAGGAGGAACACCAGUGGCGAAGGCGACUCUCUGGGCCAAUACUGACGCUGAGGUUCGAAAGCAUGGGUAGCGAACAGGAUUAGAUACCCUGGUAGUCCAUGCAGUAAACGAUGAGUGCUAGAUGUUGGGAAUUUAAAUUUCCAGUAUCGCAGUUAACGCGUUAAGCACUCCGCCU